This 461-nucleotide long non-coding RNA is filed under the name Anas platyrhynchos platyrhynchos (common mallard). RNAcentral describes it as "lncRNA (ENSAPLG00000022585.1)". Lineage: Eukaryota; Metazoa; Chordata; Aves; Anseriformes; Anatidae. The record is from RNAcentral.
GGGCAACGUGGUAGUCAACAUUCCAAGUCUACACAAAGAUUAAAUAAAAACAGGCUUUAAGGAAAUGUUAACCUGUAACUUCUACCCUACAAUAGAAUGGUUUCCUGUCACCUUUUUCUCCUGACUGAUGGCUCUAUAAGUGUGAAGAAAAUGACAGAAAAUGAGAGACUGUGGUUCAGGACAUAUGGCAGCCUUCUCUCUUAGUGUAUCGUCCACAUGGAGGUUGGGUUAGCAUUGGCUUUAUUUCCUUCUCAGUCAUCCAUAACCAAUCCUUAGAAAUCACAUGGGGGCAUAUGGCUUUGUAAAUAAUUUGCUAUGUGGAUGUUCACUGCCAACAGGACUUCAGCUUCUAAUUUUUUUUUCCAGGUUGAGAAAUACACGUAAAUGUACUUUGGAACAGUUCAGCCUACUCUUGAUCUAAUUGUGCUGCUCAUUAUAUUUGCAAGAGAAUCUUAUCUGGG